GAUGAAGAACGUAGCGAAAUGCGAUACUUGGUGUGAAUUGCAGAAUCCCGUGAACCAUCGAGUCUUUGAACGCAAGUUGCGCCCGAAGCCAUUAGGCCGAGGGCACGCCUGCCUGGGCGUCACACGUCGUUGCCCCCCCAUCUACUCCUUCGGGAUUGCGGGGGGCGGAUGAUGGCCUCCCGUGCGCCUCGUCGCGCGGUUGGCAUAAAUACCAAGUCCUCGGCGACGCACGCCACGACAAUCGGUGGUUGCGAAACCUCGGUUGCCCGUCGUGUGCGGUCGUCGCGCAUCGAGGGCUCGAAAAAAUUGCCGGGCUCCGGCUGGGCUUUCAACGCGACCCCAGGUCAGGCGGGGUUACCCGCUGAAUUUAAGCAUAUCAAUAAGCGGAGGA
Molecule: unclassified non-coding RNA, 391 nt
Filed under: soil metagenome
Description: partial contains 5.8S ribosomal RNA, internal transcribed spacer 2, and large subunit ribosomal RNA
Rfam family: 5.8S ribosomal RNA (bases 1-122)
Source: RNAcentral